Novosphingobium subterraneum is the source of this 408-nucleotide non-coding RNA. The record is from Rfam. NCBI's taxonomy places the organism in Bacteria, Pseudomonadati, Pseudomonadota, Alphaproteobacteria, Sphingomonadales, Sphingomonadaceae.
CCCCUUUUCAUUUGCGCCCGCAUCCCUAUAUGGGUCCCUGCCGGUUUCGGCCGGCUAUGGUGAUAAACUGCGGCGUGCAAUAGGCACAGCGGACCCGGGGGCGGUACCCGGCGGCUCCACCAUCACUACCGUGUCUUUCGGGAUGCGGGCCUUGUUGUCGCAAGGGUGUUGAUGGGGCCGAACUAGGAUCGACGUGUGUUGAAAAGCGCUGUUUUUGCCCGGGCUGAGUAACCCGUUCAAGGCUCAAAACUCACAAGUGCCAACGACAACGAAGCACUUGCUCUCGCCGCAUAAUUCUAAGGGCUAACGCCCUGAAGUUAUAAAGCGAAAGCACGGUUCGGACCGAACCGGGUAACAGAAUCGGAAACCGGGGGCUGGGGGCGAGCCUAGCAACAGAAUCGCCCCACU